Molecule: transfer RNA, 65 nt
Filed under: Cirroctopus glacialis
Lineage: Eukaryota; Metazoa; Mollusca; Cephalopoda; Octopoda; Opisthoteuthidae
Description: tRNA-Arg
Source: RNAcentral
AGAAUUGAAAUUUUAUUCAUUUAUGGUUUCGACCCAUAUUUAGGUGUUGAUUACACCCUAUUCAG